This is a non-coding RNA of Pelobates cultripes (western spadefoot toad), 221 nucleotides long. The record is from the annotation of a GenBank genome assembly. Lineage: Eukaryota; Metazoa; Chordata; Amphibia; Anura; Pelobatidae.
CAAGGACAUUGGAAUGUCGUUCGGACAAGAAAAGUGCAGGCGAAUGAUAGCAAAAAGAGGGAAGAUGAUCAGGACAUAAGGCCCGAUAGAAGAUAUAGAGAACAGCUACAAGUACCUGGGGGUACCACAAAUGCAUGGCAACCAUGAGGAAGAGACAAGGAGGAUAGCAACAUCCAAGUACCUCAAAAGAGUCAGACAGGUCCUGAAGUCCCAGCUCAAUG